Molecule: ribosomal RNA, 433 nt
Filed under: uncultured bacterium
Lineage: Bacteria
Description: partial 16S ribosomal RNA
Rfam family: Bacterial small subunit ribosomal RNA
Source: RNAcentral
AACGAACGCUGGCGGCAUGCCUAACACAUGCAAGUCGAACGAGACCUUCGGGUCUAGUGGCGCACGGGUGCGUAACGCGUGGGAACCUGCCUUUAGGUUCGGAAUAACUCAGAGAAAUUUGAGCUAAUACCGGGUGAUGUCUUCGGACCAAAGAUUUAUCGCCUUUAGAUGGGCCCGCGUUGGAUUAGCUAGUUGGUGGGGUAAAGGCCUACCAAGGCGACGAUCCAUAGCUGGUCUGAGAGGAUGAUCAGCCACACUGGGACUGAGACACGGCCCAGACUCCUACGGGCGGCAGCAGUUGGGAAUAUUGGACAAUGGGCGAAAGCCUGAUCCAGCAAUGCCGCGUGAGUGAUGAAGGCCUUAGGGUUGUAAAGCUCUUUUACCCGAGAUGAUAAUGACAGUAUCGGGAGAAUAAGCUCCGGCUAACUCCGUG